Molecule: non-coding RNA, 30 nt
Filed under: Bombyx mori (domestic silkworm)
Lineage: Eukaryota; Metazoa; Arthropoda; Insecta; Lepidoptera; Bombycidae
Source: RNAcentral
UACAAUCAGACAAAAAAAUACUCUUAAGAA